RNAcentral lists this ribosomal RNA (410 nucleotides) under Vibrio sp. P5-13. Its description in RNAcentral is "bacterial SSU rRNA". It matches the Rfam family "Bacterial small subunit ribosomal RNA", at positions 56 to 452 of the family's 1533-position model. Lineage: Bacteria; Pseudomonadati; Pseudomonadota; Gammaproteobacteria; Vibrionales; Vibrionaceae. The record is from RNAcentral.
UGCAAGUCGAGCGGAAACGAGUUAUCUGAACCUUCGGGGAACGAUAACGGCGUCGAGCGGCGGACGGGUGAGUAAUGCCUGGGAAAUUGCCCUGAUGUGGGGGAUAACUAUUGGAAACGAUAGCUAAUACCGCAUAACGUCUACGGACCAAAGAGGGGGACCUUCGGGCCUCUCGCUUCAGGAUAUGCCCAGGUGGGAUUAGCUAGUUGGUGAGGUAAUGGCUCACCAAGGCGACGAUCCCUAGCUGGUCUGAGAGGAUGAUCAGCCACACUGGAACUGAGACACGGUCCAGACUCCUACGGGAGGCAGCAGUGGGGAAUAUUGCACAAUGGGCGCAAGCCUGAUGCAGCCAUGCCGCGUGUAUGAAGAAGGCCUUCGGGUUGUAAAGUACUUUCAGUCGUGAGGAAGGC